RNAcentral lists this unclassified non-coding RNA (348 nucleotides) under soil metagenome. RNAcentral describes it as "partial contains 5.8S ribosomal RNA, internal transcribed spacer 2, and large subunit ribosomal RNA". The stretch from base 1 to 120 matches the Rfam family "5.8S ribosomal RNA", at positions 35 to 154 of the family's 154-position model. The record is from RNAcentral.
GAUGAAGAACGUAGCGAAAUGCGAUAAGUAAUGUGAAUCGCAGAAUUCAGUGAAUCAUCGAAUCUUUGAACGCACAUUGCGCCCGCCAGUAUUCUGGCGGGCAUGCCUGUCUGAGCGUCAUUUCAACCCUCAUGCCCCUAGGGCGUGGUGUUGGGGAUCGGCCAAAGCCCGCGAGGGACGGCCGGCCCCUAAAUCUAGUGGCGGACCCGUCGUGGCCUCCUCUGCGAAGUAGUGAUAUUCCGCAUCGGAGAGCGACGAGCCCCUGCCGUUAAACCCCCAACUUUCCAAGGUUGACCUCAGAUCAGGUAGGAAUACCCGCUGAACUUAAGCAUAUCAAUAAGCGGAGGA